Molecule: long non-coding RNA, 806 nt
Filed under: Felis catus (domestic cat)
Lineage: Eukaryota; Metazoa; Chordata; Mammalia; Carnivora; Felidae
Description: lncRNA (ENSFCAG00000045916.2)
Source: RNAcentral
GUCUGGAGUAUUUAGGGAGUUGGGGAAGGGCUACCUAGAAAGAAGAAAAAAGACGGUAAAAAUUGUCAUGUUAAGUGGGGACAUAGCCCAAAAGACCCUAAAUAUCAGAGGAUGGUGUACAGCUUUACCUGUGUACAAUGAAGAGGCCACAAGAAUUCUUACCUGGAGGAAUAACUUAGUGAAAUUGACUUUCCUGAAUGAUUUGUCUGACCAGAGUCUGCAAGAUAGGCUUAUAAAAGAAAGUGCAUUUCCUUUUGCAGUGUAAAUAUGACCUCCAGAAACUACUUCCAGCAAGAGAUGGAAAUUCUUUCCUCUCCACUUGACUCUGGGUUGGCUAUGUGACUUGCUUUGACCAACAGGACAGUGCAGAAGUCUGCCACAUGAGAGGCCUGGAAGUUGCUCUAUGCUCUUACAGAGCCCAGCUGCCAUAUGGCAAGGAAGCAAGUGCUAUCCUCCAGCACAGGAAGAGGCUCUGGAGAAAGGUGCCAUCUGAUGAGCAGAUGAAGGCAUGGAGAGGAAAUGAAGUGUCCCAGACAACAGGAAAUACUAAGGCCCAAGACAUGCAUAUUCUACAUCUCUAUCUUCACAUUUCAUCAGAUAAUUAAGGAAACAUCAAAGGCCUCCCAUUUAUAUUGAAUGCUGAAGAGUAACCGGAUGGAUAAACUAAUGCGAAACUAUCUGCUGGAUACAGUUAAUGGCCAACAUUUACUGGAUAUUUACCAUGUCGGGAAUUGGGAAUAAUGUUCAAUCUUUUAUGUCUGUCUCAUUCAUUUAUUCAAAUUCCAAGCUACCAGAUGUAAUCCUCA